Molecule: non-coding RNA, 3764 nt
Organism: Zootermopsis nevadensis
Lineage: Eukaryota; Metazoa; Arthropoda; Insecta; Blattodea; Termopsidae
Source: RefSeq, a predicted model, not a curated record
ACAGAGUUUUUAAGCUUCGACGUUUGUUCAAGUUGAUGAAUAUGAUAAGUGAGGAAUAUAUAAAGCAUAUCAUUUGGAAUAAAUUAAUAGGCAGCGUAUGUAAGUUGUGUGUGUACAGUCGAUAAACAAUGUGGUGCUACCUCCUUAAUAUUUAAUCUUACGUGAACUAAUAAAAUAUAUUCAUUGCGGAUUUUAGUAUUAUGAAGAAUUUUAAGUAAACAAAAUAAUUGAUUUUUGUAGUUUAAACGGAGCAGAGGUGUGAUUACAGCGGCAUUGACGACUUUAUUUUGGAUAAAGAACGGAGUUUGGUGGUGAUCUCUUUAACAGGAAAGUUUAUAAUAAAAUGAAGUUUCGGUGUUGGCGUUAAUCAUUACGGGUACAAUAAAGGAGAAGAGGAAAAUGGCAGUGUGAAGACAUUUCACGAGGUGAAAUAUUCCCAACAUUUAGCACAGUAUUGUGGAUCAUUUAAAAACAAUCAAUUUUAAUAAUAGAUAUCCAAAAUACAUUUUAAAAUUUUAUAGGUAUGGUAUAAUUCGGUACCAACGGAAAAUAUGCACAAAUUAAAUGCGUUUUCUUGUAGCUUCAAACCAUUAAAAAAAAUCGAAUAUUUAUAUUCCGUAACAUUAAACUGCAUUCUACUGUGAAUAAUCAUUUUAACGACGAAUAAACGGUAUUUAUUUUCACCUUCUACCGUAUCAAAGUCAAAAUUAGACCUAUUUGACAAGAAAUUCCAAGUAAUGACACUACAAAAUGUAUACCAAAUACUUAUCUUUACUAUCGCGACUAAUUUAUAGCAAAAAUUCGACGUGUAUGCUAUAUAUCGCCAAUAUGAAAUUAAAAUUAAAAUUUACCACUCAUCUAGUAUUAUCCAAAAAUGGGCCUUGGAACGGCUCCUAAUGAACAUGAGUAUUAUUUCAGAACGGUUUAGUUGAGAUUACUGUGGUAUUGUUAAAUGUUAUUGUUAUGCGUAUGUUUAUUUGAUUUUACGUGUUUAAAUUCGGUGGCAAGUUUUAUUCUUCUGAAUGCACUUAUCAAACAGUAAAAUAUUCAAAAAUUCCUGGAUACCGAGCAAGCUAUCACAUAUAUUCAGUAUUCAUGUAUUAUUAUCAAAUCAUAUUUCAAAUAAUUAUGUGUUUGCUUCUCGUGUGCAGAUUUGAUAUAAAUACGUAUAUGCGAUUUCGUCUUGCAUAAAACAUUUUGGACAACGCUGUAAUGUUUGUCUACAUCCAUUAUUUUCUAUGGAAACAAUGCUACGAAGGUCAUAUCUCGUCUUUUAUUGACUACAUACUGUAUUCAUAUAUUAUUAUUAUUAUUAUUAUAGAAUCAGUUUCGAGAUAUUUCUUAUUUGGGUAGUGAUCACGUAAUGCACGAAAGGUGUGAAAUUAAGUUUUGGGUUCUUGAGUUCGGCUUCGAUGUUCAAUUUCAUGUGACUGCUGUAGGGCUGCUAUCGAAAUGAAUAGUAAAUGUUUAUUUUCAAAACAAAAUGUUCUGUUAUGACAAAAUUUGCAAAAUUGCAUAGCAGAUAUUUCCCUUAAAACUUCGUUACAAAUGUUUUACAGCGUACACGACUCCGAAACUUAAAAUAAUACGGAAGACGAACAGUAUUUCAGAUAUUUAGAUUCUUUGUUAAGAGAUUCUUAAUUAUGAUGUUUGAUCGUCUGUCUCAGUUCAAAACUGAGGAUAUUCUAAUUAGGCACUUCAAAGAAUACAAAGUAUAUGAAAAGGAAUACGUAUUUCCUGAGGCUUUGGGUUAUUUAAGCAAGGAACAUGGAACUUAAUUUUACAAGUGAAUAGUGAUGUUUAACAUGAAAGUGGCUUGUACACCCACGAUAGGCGGAUGCUGUGAAUAUAAUGUGGGAUGGUAAUUUAUGAAUUACUGAGAUGGAACCGAAACGGAAACAUAUGUUAAAUACAUCUCGGACAAGAAUAUUUGUUUAAUUUACCAGUGACUUUAGUAACAUGCCAUUGUUGUGUUCACAAGAAAUACUAAUAACAGACGCACAUUCCGUAUAUAAUGAUACGAAUAUUUGCAAGGAAACUUCAUUGUGUGAAUUCUUUUUGGUCAUUUUGUCUGUAUUUAUGCUCUAAGACUAUUAUAAUGGCAUUCUUCCCGCCUAAUGAAACAAUCUUCACUCAUUUUCAAAAAAAAACUGUACUUUUUAAAAUAUUGUACGUAAUAGUUACUUCGCAAAUGCCUUGGCACAAGUGAAAUGUAAUACUUCCUUAUAUCUGAGUUAGUUUAUACUGAUUUCGAAAUAUUGUAGCCCACAUUAUUUUGAGUAGAAAAUAUUCCACAUUACUGUCAAUAUGAUCGUACGACUCAGUACUGAAAUCAUGUUUAUACGAAAUAAAAACAAUAUUUUAAAUACGUGCACAUAUAUAUAUAUAUAUAUACUCCGAUAACGUUCCUAUAGGUAAAAAUAAACAAUGAAACUGCGGUAUCUCAACAUGUGCAGCCAUCUUUCCGCGAAAAAGCAUAGUUGCGGCGGUGUUUGUUAAAGUAAUUUAUUUUUCUUUACAGAAACGGAUAUGCUCACUCACUAAAUAACGUGCUGGUAUUUUGAAAUUAUUUGUUUGUAUUAAGUAAAAUGUUAUUGGUGUAUAAAUGCGGGGUUCUGGACAAUCUCGGCAACGGUUUCUUGAAAUAAGAAUAUACCUAUAUAUAUUUUAUAUUAAAAUAUCAUCGUCAAUAGAAUGAGAGGUACACAUUGUGUUACGUCAUUUGAUGUCAUAAUUUUAUUCUUUUUAAGUGAGAUUCAAUUAUGACAUUUGUUAACAUGUGUUGACACAAUGUGUCAAUGUUUUGGACAUACGAGAGGAAAGUAAAAUAUUCUUAAACAUGAUAAUAGUUAUAAUUUCUCCGAUUAACUGUAUUACAGUAUAAAGCCUCCGGAAAAAUUAGCCAAUAUAUUUUUGAAUAAUGUUCAUUUCCAUAAAAGUUUAAUUAAAACUUUCAAAAUUAACAUCUGGAUGACGGUGGACAGGAGAUUUCUUUCGAUCCAGCAGCAAAUUAUUUGUUAUUGAACUAUUUCGGAGAAUUUUGUUUCUCUUGAACUAGAAAGACCAGAAUAUUCACAUCACAUUGGACCUUGUUCGGAGUAUGUUUGAUCCAGUUAAUGCCUUUGCAAAUGUAUCUUAUUAUUAAUUUUAAUACUUUCUCCCAUCUACACAAAGAUCUCAAAAAUGAAAUUUUCCUUGUGGGUCUCCAAUAAAAAUUAUGCAUGCAUUUCUUAUAUCCCUCAUGCCAUUUACACAGAAAUAGAUCCAGUUUCAUAGGUAUGUAUGUAAUUCUUAGGACUGAACCUUCUGUUAAUACUUUUGUUAGUACGACGAACGAUCCCGUGAAUUACCAAAUUAAAUAUAGAUUUAUAUUAAAAUAAGCACCUUAUACAAUUACAGAUAUGAUUUAUUAUAUAAAUUUUCAGAUUACGGAAAAUAAAUAUGUGCGAUAUUUACAUCAAAAAUUUAAGAAAUGUAUCGAGAAACUAUACGAUCAUAUUAUCAGUAUCAUGUUUAAUAUGUUACCAUAUUUUUGUCCAGAAUGAAUCGAUAUUUCUCAGCUAUUUACCAAAUAGUUGUCCCCCUUCUGUGAAGGGUCGUUUUAAUUGUAAAGAAUGUACUCUAUUACAUAUAUAUAUAACCGUUGUGACAAGAGGAAGAAUAAGAAUUUAUACAGAAUUCAUGUUAACCUGUUUAACGUAUUAAUAAUGAAGAUUGAGGUUUUAUGAAAUAAUAUUGUGAUAAUAAAAUUAUAUGAAACAUUU